AGAGUUUGAUCCUGGCUCAGGAUGAACGCUAGCGGCAGGCUUAACACAUGCAAGUCGAGGGGUAACAGGAGAGCUUGCUCUCGCUGACGACCGGCGCACGGGUGAGUAACGCGUAUGCAACCUACCCAUAACUGGGGCAGGGGCAUAGCUUCCGGAAACGGAAAUUAAUACCCCAUAGUAUUAUAAUAUCGCAUGAUAUAAUAAUUAAAGUUCCGACGGUUAUGGAUGGGCAUGCGUGCCAUUAGUUAGUUGGUGAGGUAAAAGCUCACCAAGACGAUGAUGGCUAGGGGGUCUUAAAGGAUGGUCCCCCACACUGGUACUGAGACACGGACCAGACUCCUACGGGAGGCAGCAGUGAGGAAUAUUGGUCAAUGGGCGCAAGCCUGAACCAGCCAUGCCGCGUGCAGGAAGACGGCCCUAUGGGUUGUAAACUGCUUUUAUAUGGGAAGAAAAUGUUCUACGUGUAGAGCACUGACGGUACCAUAAGAAUAAGCAUCGGCUAACUCCGUGCCAGCAGCCGCGGUAAUACGGAGGAUGCAAGCGUUAUCCGGAUUUAUUAGGUUUAAAGGGUGUGUAGGCGGAACUUUAAGUCAGUGGUGAAAUCUCACAGCUCAACUGUGAAACUGCCAUUGAUACUGAUAGUCUUGAGUGCGGUUGAGGUAAGCGGAAUGUGUAGUGUAGCGGUGAAAUGCUUAGAGAUUACACAGAACACCAAUUGCGUAGGCAGCUUACUAAGCCGUAACUGACGCUGAUGCACGAAAGCGUGGGUAGCGAACAGGAUUAGAUACCCUGGUAGUCCACGCCGUAAACGAUGAUAACUAGCUGUUUGCGAUACACAGUAAGCGGCAAAGCGAAAGCAUUAAGUUAUCCACCUGGGGAGUACGGUCGCAAGAUUGAAACUCAAAGGAAUUGACGGGGGCCCGCACAAGCGGAGGAACAUGUGGUUUAAUUCGAUGAUACGCGAGGAACCUUACCUGGGCUUAAAUGUAUUUUGUAUGAUUUGGAAACAGAUCUUUCCUUCGGGACUAUUACAAGGUGCUGCAUGGUUGUCGUCAGCUCGUGCCGUGAGGUGUCGGGUUAAGUCCCAUAACGAGCGCAACCCCUAUCGUUAGUUGCUAGCAGGUCAAGCUGAGGACUCUAACGAGACUGCCGGUGUAAACCGAGAGGAAGGUGGGGAUGACGUCAAAUCAGCACGGCCCUUACGUCCAGGGCUACACACGUGUUACAAUGGCCGAUACAAUGGGCAGCUACCUGGUGACAGGAUGCUAAUCUCCAAAGUCGGUCUCAGUUCGGAUCGAAGUCUGCAACUCGACUCCGUGAAGGUGGAUUCGCUAGUAAUCGCGUAUCAGCAAUGACGCGGUGAAUACGUUCCCGGGCCUUGUACACACCGCCCGUCAAACCAUGGAAGCUGGGGGUACCUGAAGUACGUGACCGCAAGGAGCGUCCUAGGGUAAAACUGGUAACUGGGGUUAAGUCGGAACAAGGUA
RNAcentral lists this ribosomal RNA (1487 nucleotides) under uncultured prokaryote. Its description in RNAcentral is "partial 16S ribosomal RNA". It matches the Rfam family "Bacterial small subunit ribosomal RNA". The record is from RNAcentral.